GUAAACACACACAUAUAUACCUUGACCAAGAGGCGAGCGUCAGACGCUAUCCAGACAGCAGCCGUUAAACAGUUGUUCAUCUAGAGUUGAAGACUGCAUCCAGCACAAGAACAAAUAAACAAGUCAGAUAAAAGACCAGGUGAAGUAAGAUACCUAUCUAGGUCCAGAAUACAAAUAAUAAAAAUCUGUUAUCAAGAUGUCGAAGUACCAAGGAAGACAAAAGGGUCGGAUGCCGGAAAACGACUAUCAUAAAAUCCGAGCUAAUUUCUGUUAUCUGUUGGAUCAUAUCAAAGAACCAGUAAUACUUGGUAAUAAAUUAUUUGAAAAAAACGUUUUCAACGCAGAUGAAAAGGAAGAAAUACAGAAAAUAUACAUGAACGUUGAAAAGGGUCGGAAUUCAGCUGCUGACAAGUUACUGAUGUAUGUCUUGUCAAACUGUGGUGAUGCCUAUGGUAAAUUCAUCCAAUGUUUACGAGAGCUAGGUUACAGAGAAAUCGUAAAGGUAUUAGAAAACACCACAAAUGGUAAGUUUAUUUCUAUUUUACACAUAAACAUUGAUAACUUAUAAAAAUAGAAAUACGAACGUAGCGGUUCUGUUCUUAUUUGCUUGCAUGAAUCUGAUGUUUCUAUUUUAAACAUUGAUAACUUAUAAAAAUAGAAAUAUGAACGUGAGGGUUCUGUUCUUAUAUUUGCUUGAAUGAAUCCGAUUUUUUGCGAGAAAUGAUUUUUAUUACUUCCAUGAUUAAAGAUCGUUAAUUACUCGCCUACACAUUUUAAACGUUUUAAUUACUACCGUUUUCAUGAAAAUUAAAUCAUAGAAAAUAUAAAUGAUGAAUCCCUAUUAUGUUUUCUUAUCUUUACUAAAUUAGGCCUACAACAGGUGCCUUUUAUUAACAUGACAAUAUACUGUAUGUGAUUAUAGCAAAAUAAGAAAGAUUGAUACUAUAAACGAAUUAUCUGGACUAAGACUAGUAAUUAUUUCCCCUUAUUUCAUGAUGGACGAAUGUAGUGCGAGUUAUAAAUAGACAAUUUUUCCCUUAAUUUUUUUCUCCCCUCUUCCUGCAUUUUUGGGUUGACUUUUUGGUCUAGAAUUGGAGAAAAGGGAUCAAAUUUGCAAUUUCAUAGCAGUUUUGGGUAAUACUGAUGAUAUUACAGCGGAGGGAUAGGGGGUGUAAAGUGUCUUUCUGCAGAGCAGUCAUUGUGUCGGAAGUGAGAUUUUCACCCCAGUCAACUUCAAAUCCGUGUAGCAAAAAAUCUAAAUGGUCAACCCCCUACAAAAUUAUGAUGAGGAGAUUGCCAAAUGUUGUCCCCAUUGUGCCUAUAAAGAUUGGAACCAACGGAAUGUUGAGAAAAAAGCUACAGCCUGUGAUGUUACAGCCAUUUAACAUUGAAGUCAAUGGGCAAAUAAUUGCUAGUCUGAGUCCUGAUGAGGUAAAGAAACAUGGCCGACUCGGGAUGUUGAUAUUUUUUCAAGGGCUUAUUUCCUGAAAUUUUGAAUGGAAAGUGUCAGAAAUAGUAAGAAUACUGCUUUUUUAUUGCCCAGCAGUAAGUUUUUUGACUAUUUGGUAUCAAAAUAGCCAUGAUUGGGGGUAUCCGUUGGUUGAGUGUGAAUUUUGGGUUGUAAAUGUGUAACAUUUUCUUCACAAUGAUAUCAAAACAUGGUUAGGUCUAAAUAUUAAGGCCAACUCAACUCCAGAUUUGGUCUAAAGUCACGAGAUGUAAACAAGGCUGACCCUAACCCUAACCCAAGACCCAGUCCUUACCCUAACCCUAACCCACAAUCUUGUCAAGAAGCAUGUAGCCUAGGCCUAAGCCAAGACCUAGUUCUGACCCUAGCCCAAACCCACAAUUGUGUAAAAAAAUCAUGUGCCCUAACCCUAUUUACAUGUUGUGACCUUGAACCAAGUCUGCAGUUGGCCUUAACAUUUAGACCUAACAUGUUUUUGACAUCAUACAAUGAAAUGUUAACAUGUACACUCCAAAAUUCACACCUGUGUGACUUUUGACCAAACAUGCAGUUGGCCUUAAUAUUUAGACCGAACCUCAAAACAUGGCAUCUACCUUUGAGAUUGGCUUAGACUUAUGUGACACUCAAGGUUUACUUUUUUACUGAUUGUUAACUGGUUUCUUUUUGGAGGGCCAGUGACGGGCUGUUCGCGAGAAAUAAAGAGGUUUAUUUCUAUUUCCAGUUGAAACCAUAUUUUUUUCUUAUUUUCUCACUGUUUUUUAUUGCAUAUUUAUCCCCAGCCUCCUAUCAUUUCAGGUGCCAGGGCAUUGUUUCAUAGAGUGGAAUGAUUGACCUCAACACAAGUAUUAAAAAAAAAGAAGCAAAACAGGUCUACAUCUCAAAACCUGAUCUCUUCCUGGACUGGCUUUAGGAGAACGAUGAUGCAUAUCAAUUUCAUCCCUGAUCUCUAUGACACCUGUGGUGGAAGUGGAGGGCAAAUCGUAAUCAGUUUGGGACCUCUGUAAACUUUGCUUUUUGGUGAUGACUUAAUUUCCGAGCUUGAAAAGGACGCUUGUGUGUUUAUCAUGGCCUCUCAUAUUGGAAGAUAACAUUAAUGGCUUGUGUGUUGAUCGACGGUUGUGCAUAUCUCUUGGUCAGGAAAGUUGUAGGCACCAUCGCCAUUGUAAAUCAUUUGACAGGCUCGAGUGAACGGGGCGACCUAUGAUUGGUCAGCAAUGUAUCAGAUUCCAUACCGGGGGGUGGGGAUGAAAAAACUGUUGUAGUGUUACAUAAUCAGAUUAUUUCAACUUACUUAUCCUGUGGAAAUACAGCUAUAUAGGAGAUAUUUUGAAAUUCAUAGGCACUGCAUGUUUCAACAUUUUAGAUUUGACCACAAUUUGGCACUUAAAACUAUGUUAACAGAGAAAAACUGUGUGGUUUUCGAUGAAAGUGUUAAAAGUCUAAUAUUGCAUCAUGAUUACUGUUUUAAAGUAUUUUCGUGUUUGAUUUAUAUUGAAUUCAUCUCAUCUUUUUGAAGAAUGCAUUUAUGUUCAAAAAUAAAAAUGUUCUGUGGAAUUCAAAAUUCAUGUGCUUUUAAAUUAUCAGAUUCCAAACUGGGGGGUAGGGAUGAAAAAGCUGUUGUAGUGUUACAUAAUCAGAUUAUUUCAACUUACUUAUCCUAUGGAAAUACAGCUAUAUAGGAGAUAUUUUAAAAUUCAUAGGCACUGCAUGUUUCAACAUUUUAGAUUUGACCACAAUUUGGCACUUGAAACUACGUUAACAGAGAAAAACUGUGUGGUUUUCGAUGAAAGUGUUAAAAAGUCUAAUAUUGCAUCAUGAUUACUGUUUUAAAGUAUUUUCGUGUUUGAUUUAUAUUGAAUUUAUCUCAUCUUUUUACAGAAUGCAUUUAUGUUCAAAAAUAAAAAUGUUCUGUUUAAUUCAAAAUUCAUGUGCUUUUAAAUUUCUGUCUGAAAUUCCGCAGUUUUCUGAUGCAUUAUAGUGUUUGCAGAAUGCCGCACAGCUCAUCUGAAAAUGCAUAGAUUUUCAUAUUCUUUGGUCAGGGAAUUGCAUAUAUGUUUGUUUAUUAGAUAACAACAGAUUUGUUUAAACUGCAGAAACAUGUGAGGUAUAUAGGACUAAGACUAGUAAUUAUUUCCCCUUAUUUCAUGAUGGACGAAUGUAGUGCGAGUUAUAAAUAGACAAUUUUUCCCUUAAUUUUUUUCUCCCCUCUUCCUGCAUUUUUGGGUUGACUUUUUGGUCUAGAAUUGGAGAAAAGGGAUCAAAUUUGCAAUUUCAUAGCAGUUUUGGGUAAUACUGAUGAUAUUACAGCGGAGGGAUAGGGGGUGUAAAGUGUCUUUCUGCAGAGCAGUCAUUGUGUCGGAAGUGAGAUUUUCACCCCAGUCAACUUCAAAUCCGUGUAGCAAAAAAUCUAAAUGGUCAACCCCCUACAAAAUUAUGAUGAGGAGAUUGCCAAAUGUUGUCCCCAUUGUGCCUAUAAAGAUUGGAACCAACGGAAUGUUGAGAAAAAAGCUACAGCCUGUGAUGUUACAGCCAUUUAACAUUGAAGUCAAUGGGCAAAUAAUUGCUAGUCUGAGUCCUGAUGAGGUAAAGAAACAUGGCCGACUCGGGAUGUUGAUAUUUUUUCAAGGGCUUAUUUCCUGAAAUUUUGAAUGGAAAGUGUCAGAAAUAGUAAGAAUACUGCUUUUUUAUUGCCCAGCAGUAAGUUUUUUGACUAUUUGGUAUCAAAAUAGCCAUGAUUGGGGGUAUCCGUUGGUUGAGUGUGAAUUUUGGGUUGUAAAUGUGUAACAUUUUCUUCACAAUGAUAUCAAAACAUGGUUAGGUCUAAAUAUUAAGGCCAACUCAACUCCAGAUUUGGUCUAAAGUCACGAGAUGUAAACAAGGCUGACCCUAACCCUAACCCAAGACCCAGUCCUUACCCUAACCCUAACCCACAAUCUUGUCAAGAAGCAUGUAGCCUAGGCCUAAGCCAAGACCUAGUUCUGACCCUAGCCCAAACCCACAAUUGUGUAAAAAAAUCAUGUGCCCUAACCCUAUUUACAUGUUGUGACCUUGAACCAAGUCUGCAGUUGGCCUUAACAUUUAGACCUAACAUGUUUUUGACAUCAUACAAUGAAAUGUUAACAUGUACACUCCAAAAUUCACACCUGUGUGACUUUUGACCAAACAUGCAGUUGGCCUUAAUAUUUAGACCGAACCUCAAAACAUGGCAUCUACCUUUGAGAUUGGCUUAGACUUAUGUGACACUCAAGGUUUACUUUUUUACUGAUUGUUAACUGGUUUCUUUUUGGAGGGCCAGUGACGGGCUGUUCGCGAGAAAUAAAGAGGUUUAUUUCUAUUUCCAGUUGAAACCAUAUUUUUUUCUUAUUUUCUCACUGUUUUUUAUUGCAUAUUUAUCCCCAGCCUCCUAUCAUUUCAGGUGCCAGGGCAUUGUUUCAUAGAGUGGAAUGAUUGACCUCAACACAAGUAUUAAAAAAAAAGAAGCAAAACAGGUGAGAUAAAUGUGCAUUUCAUACACUUUUAAGAAGUAAAUCCAACCUCAUCCCCACUUCUGCUCACUAAUAGUAAUGGGCUGGAAAUUUGGUACUGCACAGGCCUGUCUUCUCCCCUUGACAUUUAACUGAAUGACAGAAUUCCACAUUUUGACCAUUUUCUGGAUGUCAAUGACCAUUUCCCUGGAUAGUAUUCGCCCCAGAAUUCUCAUUCUCAUCCAAAUUUAACAUUUCAGGUCUACAUCUCAAAACCUGAUCUCUUCCUGGACUGGCUUUAGGAGAACGAUGAUGCAUAUCAAUUUCAUCCCUGAUCUCUAUGACACCUGUGGUGGAAGUGGAGGGCAAAUCGUAAUCAGUUUGGGACCUCUGUAAACUUUGCUUUUUGGUGAUGACUUAAUUUCCGAGCUUGAAAAGGACGCUUGUGUGUUUAUCAUGGCCUCUCAUAUUGGAAGAUAACAUUAAUGGCUUGUGUGUUGAUCGACGGUUGUGCAUAUCUCUUGGUCAGGAAAGUUGUAGGCACCAUCGCCAUUGUAAAUCAUUUGACAGGCUCGAGUGAACGGGGCGACCUAUGAUUGGUCAGCAAUGUAUCAGAUUCCAUACCGGGGGGUGGGGAUGAAAAAACUGUUGUAGUGUUACAUAAUCAGAUUAUUUCAACUUACUUAUCCUGUGGAAAUACAGCUAUAUAGGAGAUAUUUUGAAAUUCAUAGGCACUGCAUGUUUCAACAUUUUAGAUUUGACCACAAUUUGGCACUUAAAACUAUGUUAACAGAGAAAAACUGUGUGGUUUUCGAUGAAAGUGUUAAAAGUCUAAUAUUGCAUCAUGAUUACUGUUUUAAAGUAUUUUCGUGUUUGAUUUAUAUUGAAUUCAUCUCAUCUUUUUGAAGAAUGCAUUUAUGUUCAAAAAUAAAAAUGUUCUGUGGAAUUCAAAAUUCAUGUGCUUUUAAAUUAUCAGAUUCCAAACUGGGGGGUAGGGAUGAAAAAGCUGUUGUAGUGUUACAUAAUCAGAUUAUUUCAACUUACUUAUCCUAUGGAAAUACAGCUAUAUAGGAGAUAUUUUAAAAUUCAUAGGCACUGCAUGUUUCAACAUUUUAGAUUUGACCACAAUUUGGCACUUGAAACUACGUUAACAGAGAAAAACUGUGUGGUUUUCGAUGAAAGUGUUAAAAAGUCUAAUAUUGCAUCAUGAUUACUGUUUUAAAGUAUUUUCGUGUUUGAUUUAUAUUGAAUUUAUCUCAUCUUUUUACAGAAUGCAUUUAUGUUCAAAAAUAAAAAUGUUCUGUUUAAUUCAAAAUUCAUGUGCUUUUAAAUUUCUGUCUGAAAUUCCGCAGUUUUCUGAUGCAUUAUAGUGUUUGCAGAAUGCCGCACAGCUCAUCUGAAAAUGCAUAGAUUUUCAUAUUCUUUGGUCAGGGAAUUGCAUAUAUGUUUGUUUAUUAGAUAACAACAGAUUUGUUUAAACUGCAGAAACAUGUGAGGUAUAUAUAUAUGGACUAAGACUAGUAAUUAUUUCCCCUUAUUUCAUGAUGGACGAAUGUAGUGCGAGUUAUAAAUAGACAAUUUUUCCCUUAAUUUUUUUCUCCCCUCUUCCUGCAUUUUUGGGUUGACUUUUUGGUCUAGAAUUGGAGAAAAGGGAUCAAAUUUGCAAUUUCAUAGCAGUUUUGGGUAAUACUGAUGAUAUUACAGCGGAGGGAUAGGGGGUGUAAAGUGUCUUUCUGCAGAGCAGUCAUUGUGUCGGAAGUGAGAUUUUCACCCCAGUCAACUUCAAAUCCGUGUAGCAAAAAAUCUAAAUGGUCAACCCCCUACAAAAUUAUGAUGAGGAGAUUGCCAAAUGUUGUCCCCAUUGUGCCUAUAAAGAUUGGAACCAACGGAAUGUUGAGAAAAAAGCUACAGCCUGUGAUGUUACAGCCAUUUAACAUUGAAGUCAAUGGGCAAAUAAUUGCUAGUCUGAGUCCUGAUGAGGUAAAGAAACAUGGCCGACUCGGGAUGUUGAUAUUUUUUCAAGGGCUUAUUUCCUGAAAUUUUGAAUGGAAAGUGUCAGAAAUAGUAAGAAUACUGCUUUUUUAUUGCCCAGCAGUAAGUUUUUUGACUAUUUGGUAUCAAAAUAGCCAUGAUUGGGGGUAUCCGUUGGUUGAGUGUGAAUUUUGGGUUGUAAAUGUGUAACAUUUUCUUCACAAUGAUAUCAAAACAUGGUUAGGUCUAAAUAUUAAGGCCAACUCAACUCCAGAUUUGGUCUAAAGUCACGAGAUGUAAACAAGGCUGACCCUAACCCUAACCCAAGACCCAGUCCUUACCCUAACCCUAACCCACAAUCUUGUCAAGAAGCAUGUAGCCUAGGCCUAAGCCAAGACCUAGUUCUGACCCUAGCCCAAACCCACAAUUGUGUAAAAAAAUCAUGUGCCCUAACCCUAUUUACAUGUUGUGACCUUGAACCAAGUCUGCAGUUGGCCUUAACAUUUAGACCUAACAUGUUUUUGACAUCAUACAAUGAAAUGUUAACAUGUACACUCCAAAAUUCACACCUGUGUGACUUUUGACCAAACAUGCAGUUGGCCUUAAUAUUUAGACCGAACCUCAAAACAUGGCAUCUACCUUUGAGAUUGGCUUAGACUUAUGUGACACUCAAGGUUUACUUUUUUACUGAUUGUUAACUGGUUUCUUUUUGGAGGGCCAGUGACGGGCUGUUCGCGAGAAAUAAAGAGGUUUAUUUCUAUUUCCAGUUGAAACCAUAUUUUUUUCUUAUUUUCUCACUGUUUUUUAUUGCAUAUUUAUCCCCAGCCUCCUAUCAUUUCAGGUGCCAGGGCAUUGUUUCAUAGAGUGGAAUGAUUGACCUCAACACAAGUAUUAAAAAAAAAGAAGCAAAACAGGUGAGAUAAAUGUGCAUUUCAUACACUUUUAAGAAGUAAAUCCAACCUCAUCCCCACUUCUGCUCACUAAUAGUAAUGGGCUGGAAAUUUGGUACUGCACAGGCCUGUCUUCUCCCCUUGACAUUUAACUGAAUGACAGAAUUCCACAUUUUGACCAUUUUCUGGAUGUCAAUGACCAUUUCCCUGGAUAGUAUUCGCCCCAGAAUUCUCAUUCUCAUCCAAAUUUAACAUUUCAGGUCUACAUCUCAAAACCUGAUCUCUUCCUGGACUGGCUUUAGGAGAACGAUGAUGCAUAUCAAUUUCAUCCCUGAUCUCUAUGACACCUGUGGUGGAAGUGGAGGGCAAAUCGUAAUCAGUUUGGGACCUCUGUAAACUUUGCUUUUUGGUGAUGACUUAAUUUCCGAGCUUGAAAAGGACGCUUGUGUGUUUAUCAUGGCCUCUCAUAUUGGAAGAUAACAUUAAUGGCUUGUGUGUUGAUCGACGGUUGUGCAUAUCUCUUGGUCAGGAAAGUUGUAGGCACCAUCGCCAUUGUAAAUCAUUUGACAGGCUCGAGUGAACGGGGCGACCUAUGAUUGGUCAGCAAUGUAUCAGAUUCCAUACCGGGGGGUGGGGAUGAAAAAACUGUUGUAGUGUUACAUAAUCAGAUUAUUUCAACUUACUUAUCCUGUGGAAAUACAGCUAUAUAGGAGAUAUUUUGAAAUUCAUAGGCACUGCAUGUUUCAACAUUUUAGAUUUGACCACAAUUUGGCACUUAAAACUAUGUUAACAGAGAAAAACUGUGUGGUUUUCGAUGAAAGUGUUAAAAGUCUAAUAUUGCAUCAUGAUUACUGUUUUAAAGUAUUUUCGUGUUUGAUUUAUAUUGAAUUCAUCUCAUCUUUUUGAAGAAUGCAUUUAUGUUCAAAAAUAAAAAUGUUCUGUGGAAUUCAAAAUUCAUGUGCUUUUAAAUUAUCAGAUUCCAAACUGGGGGGUAGGGAUGAAAAAGCUGUUGUAGUGUUACAUAA
Long non-coding RNA from Patella vulgata (common limpet), 8818 nucleotides. RefSeq lists it as uncharacterized. NCBI's taxonomy places the organism in Eukaryota, Metazoa, Mollusca, Gastropoda, Patellidae. The record is from RefSeq and is a predicted model, not a curated record. The transcript is spliced from 4 exons.